AAAACGACUCUCGGCAACGGAUAUCUCGGCUCUCGCAUCGAUGAAGAACGUAGCGAAAUGCGAUACUUGGUGUGAAUUGCAGAAUCCCGUGAACCAUCGAGUCUUUGAACGCAAGUUGCGCCCCAAGCCUACUGGCCGAGGGCACGUCUGCCUGGG
This 156-nucleotide ribosomal RNA is filed under the name Arabis subflava. RNAcentral describes it as "5.8S ribosomal RNA". It matches the Rfam family "5.8S ribosomal RNA". Rfam says of the family: 5.8S ribosomal RNA (5.8S rRNA) is a component of the large subunit of the eukaryotic ribosome. Lineage: Eukaryota; Viridiplantae; Streptophyta; Magnoliopsida; Brassicales; Brassicaceae. The record is from RNAcentral.